UACGUAGGUGGCAAGCGUUGUCCGGAAUUAUUGGGCGUAAAGCGCGCGCAGGUGGUUUCUUAAGUCUGAUGUGAAAGCCCACGGCUCAACCGUGGAGGGUCAUUGGAAACUGGGAGACUUGAGUGCAGAAGAGGAUAGUGGAAUUCCAAGUGUAGCGGUGAAAUGCGUAAAGAUUUGGAGGAACACCAGUGGCGAAGGCGACUAUCUGGUCUGUAACUGACACUGAGGCGCGAAAGCGUGGGGAGCAAACAGG
RNAcentral lists this ribosomal RNA (253 nucleotides) under uncultured bacterium. Its description in RNAcentral is "partial 16S ribosomal RNA". It matches the Rfam family "Bacterial small subunit ribosomal RNA", at positions 524 to 776 of the family's 1533-position model. The record is from RNAcentral.